AAGAAAAAUGACCAAAAAUAAUAUGCUCAUUUUUCAAGCUUCAGCAGAAGAAACACUUCCUAUAAAUCUCGCCCAAACAGGAAAGGACAAAGAUGCAUGCAUAAGUAAAAAUAUGACAGGUCACAAUCACGCCGGGGUGGUCCUGGGGCGAGGCCCAAGUUCCCUGCACGCACCGGCACAAGCACGCACACUGUGAUGGGGAGGACGUUUACGUACCAUGUCCACACCACUCCAGACUUGGAGAAGCAUCAGGGUGUCCGACUACGUGGGUUUCAUAGCUGUGGAAAAGCCAAAGGGGAGACUCCUGAAGAAAGGCGGUGAAGACUGUGAAGAGCGGGUCAGGAAGAUGAGCACAGCACUGCUACUCCUGUGGGCACAGGGACAGCAUGUCUCCAGCCAGCGCCACCUUGUUUAAUACAUGGGAACUCACUGAAAUUCAUUCUGUAUUUUGCCCACAAAGUUUUAAAGCUUUCAUCCACAGUCAGGAAUUAAACUUAUACCAAUGAGAGCCUCACACAUUCAAGGAUGUACUAAGCACUACAGGCCUCACAGAAACAGAGAUCCCAUCUUGGAGUUUUCAGUCCCACAUGGGAGAUAAAGGGUUUUGAACAUGAAAUGACAAAAACAACAGCAAGAAGAAAAUUCUCGUCCUUUUUCAUUACUAUCAAACUCAAAUAAAUGUCUUGGCUCUUACAUUACAUUCAUUCUUCAACCAUUGUGGUCUGGCUUCCACUUCCUUCACUUCACCAACAUGGCUCUGCCAAAGGAAGCCUGUGAUCUCUAGGCCAUCACUUUAAUUGAUCUCUCUACAACAUUUAUCCUGGUCGUUAAGCCCUCCUUACAACAUUCUUCUCUCUUUGUUUUUAUGGCUCUGUCUCUCCUGCUUCUUUAACCUGAUAAUGCAUACUUGAUUUUUC
Molecule: long non-coding RNA, 917 nt
Filed under: Homo sapiens (human)
Lineage: Eukaryota; Metazoa; Chordata; Mammalia; Primates; Hominidae
Description: HSALNT0380413
Source: RNAcentral